AUUUCUGCGCCUUCUUCGAACAUUCCAUCACCGAGUUCACUUCUUCUUGCGUACAAGCUACUCACUCUCAGUCCAAUCCAAUUCCAAUUCAAGUCGAUACACCCCCAAAAUAUAUAUAUAUAUAUAUAUAUAUACUAGUAACAACUUUUCACCCAAAAAUGGCGUCUAAAACCCUUGUUCUUGCUCAAACAUGUUUAGACCCACGAAUCGUGGUCUCGACGGAGUUGUAAUCCUCCAAACAAUUUCCUCAAAUUCAGUCUGAUACAAGCUCGAAUCCACAUCUCCAAUCGAACAGUCUCAAUUGAUUAAUCUUCACACCUCUUGCUUUUACGAACUCAAGACUGCGGUGGUGUUGAUCGGAGACGAAGAGGUUCACUUGGUGGCAAUGCCGAGCAAGCAGAAUAAAUUUUCGUGUUUUUGGUGCUAUGCGGUUCCGUCCGUGUUCAAAGUACGGCGGCGGCAGUAGCGAAGUUGGGCAACAGUGAUGAGGAUGACGUCGAUAGGGAUGAUAAGCUUUCAAACAGAUCUUGCUUAGUUUGAUACAAAUUUUACUUUUCAAAAUACAUUUUUGAGAAGAUUAAUGGUUUUCCUUUAACCAUAACUAUUUUUUUUGUUGUUAUUUGUUGUUGUUUUGUUAUUUGUUUUUUUUCUUUUUAUAUAUAGUUUGUAUGGCCUUUUGGAGUCUCAUUUU
Molecule: non-coding RNA, 691 nt
Organism: Camellia sinensis
Lineage: Eukaryota; Viridiplantae; Streptophyta; Magnoliopsida; Ericales; Theaceae
Source: RefSeq, a predicted model, not a curated record